This 84-nucleotide transfer RNA is filed under the name Chloroflexota bacterium. RNAcentral's name for it is "Chloroflexi bacterium tRNA-Leu". It matches the Rfam family "tRNA". Rfam says of the family: Transfer RNA (tRNA) molecules are approximately 80 nucleotides in length. Their secondary structure includes four short double-helical elements and three loops (D, anti-codon, and T loops). Further hydrogen bonds mediate the characteristic L-shaped molecular structure. tRNAs have two regions of fundamental functional importance: the anti-codon, which is responsible for specific mRNA codon recognition, and the 3' end, to which the tRNAs corresponding amino acid is attached (by aminoacyl-tRNA synthetases). tRNAs cope with the degeneracy of the genetic code in two manners: having more than one tRNA (with a specific anti-codon) for a particular amino acid; and 'wobble' base-pairing, i.e. permitting non-standard base-pairing at the 3rd anti-codon position. The record is from RNAcentral. Lineage: Bacteria; Bacillati; Chloroflexota.
GGGGGUAUGGCGGAACGGCAUACGCGGCUCCCUUAAAAAGAGUUGCCAGCAGGAUUGUGGGUUCGAGUCCCACUACCCCCACCG